CGGAGGGUGCGAGCGUUGUCCGGAAUCACUGGGCGUAAAGGGCGCGUAGGCGGCCUGGUAAGUAGGGGGUGAAAUCCUGCGGCUUAACCGCAGGGCUGCCUUCUAAACUGUCAGGCUCGAGCACGGUAGAGGCAGAUGGAAUUCCCGGUGUAGCGGUGGAAUGCGUAGAGAUCGGGAAGAACAUCAGUGGCGAAGGCGGUCUGCUGGGCCGUUGCUGACGCUGAGGCGCGACAGCGGUGGGGAGCAAACAGGAUUAGAUACCCUGGUAGUCCACGCCGUAAACGAUGGGCACUAGGCGUCGGGGGGAGCGACCCUCCCGGUGCCGUCGCUAACGCAGUAAGUGCCCCGCCGUGGGGAGUACGGCCGCAAGGCUG
RNAcentral lists this ribosomal RNA (374 nucleotides) under uncultured organism. RNAcentral describes it as "bacterial SSU rRNA". It matches the Rfam family "Bacterial small subunit ribosomal RNA", at positions 526 to 896 of the family's 1533-position model. The record is from RNAcentral.